UGGGGAAUAUUGCGCAAUGGGGGAAACCCUGACGCAGCGACGCCGCGUGGAGGAUGACGGUUUUCGGAUUGUAAACUCCUGUUAAGUGGGAAGAAUGACCAAGGUCUAAUAAAUCUUGGGGGUGACGGUACCACUAGAGAAAGCACCGGCUAACUUCGUGCCAGCAGCCGCGGUAAUACGAGGGGUGCAAGCGUUAUUCGGAGUUACUGGGCGUAAAGAGCGCGUAGGCGGUAUGUUAAGUUGGUUGUUAAAUCCCCUGGCUCAACCAGGGAUCAGCAAUCAAAACUGGCAAACUAGAGGACAAGAGAGAAAGGUGGAAUUCUCGGAGUAGCGGUAAAAUGCGUAGAUCUCGAGAGGAAUAUCGGUUGCGAAGGCGGCCUUUUGGCUUGUAUCUGACGCU
Molecule: ribosomal RNA, 400 nt
Filed under: uncultured bacterium
Lineage: Bacteria
Description: bacterial SSU rRNA
Rfam family: Bacterial small subunit ribosomal RNA
Source: RNAcentral